ACCAGGUGUGGUGGUGCAUGCCUGUAAUCCCAGCGGCUCAGGAGGCUAAGACAGGAGGAUCAAGAGUUCAAAGCGAGCCUCAGCAAUGGCAAGGGGCUAAGUAACUCAGUGAGACCCUGUCUCUA
This 125-nucleotide small RNA is filed under the name Marmota monax (woodchuck). The record is from RNAcentral. Lineage: Eukaryota; Metazoa; Chordata; Mammalia; Rodentia; Sciuridae.